RNAcentral lists this microRNA (19 nucleotides) under Macaca mulatta (Rhesus monkey). RNAcentral describes it as "mml-miR-7191-5p". Lineage: Eukaryota; Metazoa; Chordata; Mammalia; Primates; Cercopithecidae. The record is from miRBase by way of RNAcentral.
UACAGAACCUCUGAGGCAU